GCGUCAAACAAACAUAUUAGCUCAUCCACACCGCACUGUAAUAAUCCAUGUAUGUUUACUGUAUACUUACUGAAAUGCAUAAUGUACUGUACUUUUCUGUCAAUAAACAGUGGAUAAACUGAGUAUGUGU
Long non-coding RNA from Sinocyclocheilus anshuiensis, 130 nucleotides. RefSeq lists it as uncharacterized. The transcript has 3 exons. The record is from RefSeq and is a predicted model, not a curated record. NCBI's taxonomy places the organism in Eukaryota, Metazoa, Chordata, Actinopteri, Cypriniformes, Cyprinidae.